ACGGGAGGCAGCAGUGGGGAAUAUUGGGCAAUGGGCGAAAGCCUGACCCAGCAACGCCGCGUGAAGGAAGAAGGUCUUCGGAUUGUAAACUUCUUUUGUGAGGGACGAAGGACGUGACGGUACCUCAUGAAUAAGCCACGGCUAACUACGUGCCAGCAGCCGCGGUAAUACGUAGGUGGCAAGCGUUAUCUGGAUUUACUGGGUGUAAAGGGCGCGUAGGCGGGGAUGCAAGUCAGAUGUGAAAUCUAUGAGCUUAACUCAUAAACUGCAUUUGAAACCGUAUCUCUUGAGUGCUGGAGAGGUAGACGGAAUUCCUAGUGUAGCGGUGAAAUGCGUAGAUAUUAGGAAGAACACCAGUGGCGAAGGCGGUCUACUGGACAGUAACUGACGCUGAGGCGCGAAAGCGUGGGGAGCAAACAGGAUUAGAUACCCUGGUA
RNAcentral lists this ribosomal RNA (437 nucleotides) under uncultured Oscillospiraceae bacterium. Its description in RNAcentral is "bacterial SSU rRNA". It matches the Rfam family "Bacterial small subunit ribosomal RNA", at positions 341 to 792 of the family's 1533-position model. The record is from RNAcentral. Lineage: Bacteria; Bacillati; Bacillota; Clostridia; Eubacteriales; Oscillospiraceae.